Molecule: ribosomal RNA, 748 nt
Filed under: uncultured Prevotellaceae bacterium
Lineage: Bacteria; Pseudomonadati; Bacteroidota; Bacteroidia; Bacteroidales; Prevotellaceae
Description: bacterial SSU rRNA
Rfam family: Bacterial small subunit ribosomal RNA
Source: RNAcentral
GGACGUCGACCGGCGCACGGGUGAGUAACGCGUAUUCAACCUACCCAUUACUGUGGGAUAACCUGCCGAAAGGCAGACUAAUACCGCAUAGUCUUCGAUGACGGCAUCAGAUUUGAAGUAAAGAUUUAUCGGUAAUGGAUGGGGAUGCGUCUGAUUAGCUUGUUGGCGGGGUAACGGCCCACCAAGGCAACGAUCAGUAGGGGUUCUGAGAGGAAGGUCCCCCACAUUGGAACUGAGACACGGUCCAAACUCCUACGGGAGGCAGCAGUGAGGAAUAUUGGUCAAUGGGCGCGAGCCUGAACCAGCCAAGUAGCGUGCAGGAUGACGGCCCUAUGGGUUGUAAACUGCUUUUGUAUGGGGAUAAAGUCAAUCACGUGUGAUUGUUUGCAGGUACCAUACGAAUAAGGACCGGCUAAUUCCGUGCCAGCAGCCGCGGUAAUACGGAAGGUCCGGGCGUUAUCCGGAUUUAUUGGGUUUAAAGGGAGCGUAGGCCGGAGAUUAAGUGUGUUGUGAAAUGUAGACGCUCAACGUCUGACUUGCAGCGCAUACUGGUUUCCUUGAGUACGCACAACGUUGGCGGAAUUCGUCGUGUAGCGGUGAAAUGCUUAGAUAUGACGAAGAACUCCGAUUGCGAAGGCAGCUGACGGGAGCGCAACUGACGCUUAAGCUCGAAGGUGCGGGUAUCGAACAGGAUUAGAUACCCUGGUAGUCCGCACAGUAAACGAUGGAUGCCCGCUGUUGGUACCUG